UGCAUGCAUGACUGGAAGUUGCUUUGGAUAAAAGCGUCUGCUAAACGGCAUUAA
Non-coding RNA from Salmo salar (Atlantic salmon), 54 nucleotides. Lineage: Eukaryota; Metazoa; Chordata; Actinopteri; Salmoniformes; Salmonidae. The record is from Rfam.